CUAGCCUAAAGAGAGUUAGGGUUUCGCGCUUUUCGCUAUAAAUACCAAAACAGGGGUUUUUAUCGCCACAGGUUUACAUUCAGGGAUCAUCUUCUGGAAAAAAUCGACAUUGUUGAUAGAAAAGCGUGAGAGUUUCUGUUGUUCAGGAUGAGAGCUAAGUGGAAGAAGAAGCGCAUGAGGAGGUUGAAGAGGAAGCGCCGAAAGAUGAGACAGAGAUCUAAGUAGGUGCUUGAGCAGGAGUCAGAUGAGCUUUCCUUCCUAUACCUAGUUCAUGGCAUUUUGGGUUUUUAUGGCUCCAAUGAUCUCGAGGUCUAGUUGGGAGGGGAGGCAUAUCUCACGACUCAGUUAGCAUUACUGCAUUAAGACUAUUGAGUGGAUUAAGUUGUUAUGAUGAGUGUUUUAUCGUACCUAAUUAUGUACUGAUUUUGUAUACUUCUUGGUUUAUCCGAAUAGCUUAUAUAUCGUAAGAGUUUCCUGAAAUUUGAUCAUUUUAUAGAGAUGUUAAAAUAGAGUUGACUGUUCAGGCAACAUAAUUUACCUAUAAUUUUUAGCUUUUAUUUUA
Molecule: long non-coding RNA, 562 nt
Organism: Vigna radiata var. radiata (mung bean)
Lineage: Eukaryota; Viridiplantae; Streptophyta; Magnoliopsida; Fabales; Fabaceae
Exons: 2
Source: RefSeq, a predicted model, not a curated record